AGCGAACGCUGGCGGCAGGCUUAACACAUGCAAGUCGAGCGGGCACUCUCGGGUGUCAGCGGCGGACGGGUGAGUAACGCGUGGGAACGUGCCCUCUGGUUCGGAAUAACUCAGGGAAACUUGAGCUAAUACCGGAUACGCCCUUUUGGGGAAAGGCUUGCUGCCGGAGGAUCGGUCCGCGUCUGAUUAGCUAGUUGGUGAGGUAACGGCUCACCAAGGCGACGAUCAGUAGCUGGUCUGAGAGGAUGAUCAGCCACACUGGGACUGAGACACGGCCCAGACUCCUACGGGAGGCAGCAGUGGGGAAUAUUAGGCAAUGGGCGCAAGCCUGAUCCAGCCAUGCCGCGUGAGUGAUGAAGGCCUUAGGGUUGUAAAGCUCUUUUAUCCGGGACGAUAAUGACGGUACCGGAGGAAUAAGCCCCGGCUAACUCCGUG
RNAcentral lists this ribosomal RNA (435 nucleotides) under uncultured bacterium. RNAcentral's name for it is "partial 16S ribosomal RNA". It matches the Rfam family "Bacterial small subunit ribosomal RNA", at positions 29 to 507 of the family's 1533-position model. The record is from RNAcentral.